RNAcentral lists this ribosomal RNA (2727 nucleotides) under Triticum aestivum (bread wheat). Its description in RNAcentral is "partial small subunit ribosomal RNA". The record is from RNAcentral. Lineage: Eukaryota; Viridiplantae; Streptophyta; Magnoliopsida; Poales; Poaceae.
AUGAGCAAGAUACUCAUCGCCAUGUCUUUUGUGCUGAUGUUCUCGGCAUCUACGCCGCAAGCAUCAGCCGCAGUCCUUGGAGCCGCCGGAGGGAUCCUGCGGGUCCCUUCUAGUGACUCCUUGGCUCACUGCAUCCCAAGGUGCGGGGACGUCGACAUCCCCUAUCCCUUCGGUAUAGGGCCCGGCUGCUUCCGUCAAGGCUUCGAUCUCACCUGCAACCACUCCACCUACAAUCCCAGGCUCUUUUUAGGCAGCAGCACUAUCCAGGUCACUGACAUUGACAUAUACUCCGGCGUAGUAUGGACCCCUAUAAUCUACAACCUUACAACGAGUCUAGGUACAAAUACAUACGACAUCAUAUGGAAGGCCCCUGCUAAAGGUAUUACUCUCACUAGAGAUAAUACUUUGUACGUAGCUGGUUGUGAUUUGGACGUCACCUUGUUCAAGUAUGGUACAAGAAACAUGGUUGGUUCUUGUAUGACUAGAUGCGCCGGCAGGAAGGCACCGACUGGAGGGCCUUGUAAUGGAAAGGGCUGCUGCCUCAUCCGGUUUGCAAGUGACCUGCCAGGCUUUCACGCAAAUCUUGUCAGCACUAAUACUACUGCAACACAAUCAGAUUGGUUCCACCCUGGCAUCAUGGCUUUAGUGUCAAAUUAUCCAGAUUAUUACAUAGAUGAUGUUGGAGCCGAUCUUUUCUCUAGUUGGACAAAUGAGAUCCAGGCGGAGCUUAGAGUUGCCAUCAUGGACCAACCAAGCUGUGUAAGUGCACAACUGAAGAGGGAAAGCUAUGCCUGUAGCAACCGUAGCAGUUGUCGGAAUUCCUCAUUCGGUGGUUACCAAUGUGUCUGCCCUUCUUAUAACGGAGACAACCCUUACAUGUUACAUGGAUGCAUGCAAGAUUAUAACCCCAAGCCCAAAGAAGACUGUCCCGCAUCAUGUGGUCGCAUUACUGUUCCCUUCCCCUUUGGUCUUGAAGAAGGGUGUUAUGCAAACGAAAGAUUUCGUCUUAAUUGUACAUCUGGUGAUCUCAUAUUUUCUCUCUCAAUUGCACAAUAUCUUGUGACUGAUAUAUCCGUGGAAGAUGGGACUUUGAUUGUUAACAACAUGGUGAAUGGAAGUAAUGCUGAAGAGGUAGUAAUUAUGAAGACUCAGAGUGCUGGACAUUCAUUGCAUUUGGGCCCCCCUGUGGAAGAUCUAUUUGAUUUCUCUAUGGAAUACAACAUUGUUAUGAACUGGGCGGUUACCAAUUUAACAUGUCAAACAGCUAUGCAGAAGGAUAUUUAUGCAUGCCGCAGUUCCCACAGCUAUUGCCUAAAUGUCACCCAUGGGGAAAUAUUUAUGGGAUACCGUUGCAAGUGUUCUUUAGGCUAUCAAGGAAAUCCGUACAUCAAAGAUGGCUGCAAAGAUAUCGAUGAGUGUGCAGGAUCAACCUACUGCAAUGGGACAUGUCAAAAUUUUAUUGGAAGCUACAAAUGCACGAGUUGCCCUCAUAGAAAAGAGUUUGAUCCAAUAAAACGGCAGUGUGUUACAUCAGCCAAGCAACACAGUCUUCUUUUGGGCAUCGCAAUUGGAACUGGAUGUGGUCUUGGCUCCAUAAUUAUUGCAGCCUGUGUAGUUAGAUUCACCAACAAGUGGAAGAAAGGCAUCCGGAAGAGAAUCCGACGAGCACACUUCAAGAAAAAUCAAGGUCUUCUUUUGGAGCAGCUUAUCUCAGAUGAAAACGCCACAAAUAAAACAAAGAUAUUCUCCUUGGAGGAUCUACAGAAGGCAACCAACAACUUCGAUACCACUCGUGUUCUUGGUCGUGGAGGACACGGUACAGUUUAUAAAGGGAUUCUAUCUGACCAACGGGUGGUGGCUAUUAAAAAAUCCAAAAUUGUGGAGCAAACUGAGAUAGACCAGUUUAUCAAUGAGGUUGCUAUCUUGUCUCAAAUCAUUCAUCGAAAUGUGGUAAAGCUCUUCGGUUGUUGCCUUGAAUCUGAGGUGCCUUUGCUUGUGUACGAGUUCAUAUCUAAUGGCACACUGCAUGACCUACUUCACAUUGAUGUUGGUGUUAAAUGCUUGCUGUCUUGGGAUGAUCGCAUUAGGAUUGCAGUAGAAGCGGCUGGCGCACUUGCUUAUCUGCACUCGGCUGCUGCAAUACCAAUUUUCCAUAGAGACGUGAAAUCUUCUAAUAUUCUAUUGGACAGCAGCUUUGCCACAAAGGUUUCUGAAUUUGGUGCUUCAAGGUCUCUUUCACUCGAUGAGACACAUGUGGUGACUAUUGUCCAAGGAACCUUUGGUUACCUAGAUCCAGAGUAUUACCAUACUGGGCAGUUGACGGAAAAGAGUGAUGUGUAUAAUUUUGGAGUAAUACUUGUGGAACUUUUGACAAGAAAAAAGCCAAUUUUUAUCAAUGAUAUAGGUGCAAAACAGAACUUGGCCCAUUAUUUCGUGGAAGGAUUGCAAGAGGGAGCUAUCAUGGAAUUAAUGGAUCCUCAGGUUAUCAAAGAGGCAAGCCCAGAAGAUGUUGAUGAUAUUUGCUCACUUACAGAAGCAUGCUUGAGGCUCAAAGGAAGAGACAGGCCUACUAUGAAAGAAGUAGACAUGAGGUUGCAAUUCCUGAGAACUAAAAGGCAAAGAAAAUGCAAUAUUCUUCCAGAGGUCAGCUACUCUACUGCACAGAUGCUGCCCAGUUGCUAUAGUCUAGAACAAGAACACUCAUCCUCUCUCACAUUGCCACGCUAA